ACGGAGGAUGCAAGCGUUAUCCGGAAUGAUUGGGCGUAAAGCGUCCGCAGGUGGCUAUGUAAGUCUGCUGUUAAAGAGUGAGGCUCAACCUCAUAAGAGCAGUGGAAACUACAUAGCUAGAGUGCGUUCGGGGCAGAGGGAAUUCCUGGUGUAGCGGUGAAAUGCGUAGAUAUCAGGAAGAACACCGGUGGCGAAAGCGCUCUGCUAGGCCGCAACUGACACUGAGGGACGAAAGCUAGGGGAGCGAAUGGGA
This 253-nucleotide ribosomal RNA is filed under the name uncultured prokaryote. RNAcentral's name for it is "partial 16S ribosomal RNA". It matches the Rfam family "Bacterial small subunit ribosomal RNA", at positions 525 to 777 of the family's 1533-position model. The record is from RNAcentral.